RNAcentral lists this ribosomal RNA (465 nucleotides) under uncultured bacterium. RNAcentral describes it as "partial 16S ribosomal RNA". It matches the Rfam family "Bacterial small subunit ribosomal RNA", at positions 338 to 795 of the family's 1533-position model. The record is from RNAcentral.
CCUACGGGAGGCAGCAGUGGGGAAUAUUGCGCAAUGGGCGAAAGCCUGACGCAGCGACGCCGCGUGAGGGAUGAAGGUCUUCGGAUCGUAAACCUCUGUCAGCAGGGAAGAACGGUCACUGUGCUAAUCAGCAGUGAAUUGACGGUACCUGCAAAGGAAGCACCGGCUAACUCCGUGCCAGCAGCCGCGGUAAUACGGAGGGUGCGAGCGUUAAUCGGAAUUACUGGGCGUAAAGCGCUCGUAGGCGGUAUGUCAAGUCAAGGGUGAAAUCCCCGCGCUCAACGUGUGAACUGCAUUUGAAACUGGCAAACUGGAGUGGGUGUGAGGAUAGUGGAAUUCCAGGUGUAGGAGUGAAAUGCGUAGAUAUCUGGAGGAACAUCAGUGGCGAAGGCGACUAUCUGGCACAUAACUGACGCUGAGGAGCGAAAGCGUGGGUAGCAAACAGGAUUAGAUACCCUUGUAGUC